CAUUUGUUCUGCUGACAGCAUCAGGUUUUCCCGAGCAUCACUGGGUUACGAAGGACAAGAGAUGUGGCCCAGUUUCUUCUGACCUAUGCCGUGCCCUGCUCUGUAGCCACGGACUUGCCUCUGCCCCGCUUGUGCUCCUCUAGGGAAUUCUAGGGAAUUUUAACCCUAAAUCGCACUAUUUUUAUGAUUUGAUUUUUAAUUUUACCUAUUUUGUAUUUUUAUAUUUUUAUAACAUAUUUAACUUGAAAUUACAAAUAUUGUAUGUUAUGUUAAGCAACUUAAUUAUAUAUAAUAUUAAGCAACUUGCAUAUAAAAAUAAAUAUAAAAAUACUUAUAUAUUUAUAACAACUAUUUUAUAAACUAAUAGCUCAUCUCUGCAUAUGACCUAUUUAUUUAAUCCAGUUUCUGAAGUGCCAUAAGCUAAAUAUAAUAUUUCGUUCAGGAGAUGUCAAUUUGUCAUUUUUCAAUAUUGUUUUGUAUCCUGAAUAUUUUCUGACCUUUUCCUUCUCAGCAUUCUGCACCAAAAAUAACACCAAUAAUUAGUUUUACUUCCUUAGUCUGGCUGAAGGAAAGAAAAUGAUUGCAUUGGUUUCUCUCCACCAAGCAGUUCCCCUGUUAAUUUUUAAUGACCUAGCUCAGUCAUAUUUGGCAGCCGGGUGGAAAGCCUCAGAGGUGACCGAUUUUUGCUAACUUCAGGAAAAGAGAUGUCUGGGUAAGGAAGGAAGGACAAGAUUGCCUCAUCAGUCCCCUUCAGGAGGGGGAGCCAGGAUUCAGCUCUCAUCCCUCUGUCCAGCAUAUGCUGAACAGAAUAGCAGGAGGGGAAAUAGUAGAGCACUCACUUUGUGUGUUUUGGACCUGGCAUAAAUGUAGGUUUACUGUGGUUGCAGGGAAAGGAGGAACAGGAGACAACAUUUUAUGGGAAAUCAGACUUUAUUAAUUCCUCUGUCUAUUAAAAAUUACUGUCCUUUUUUUCUUGCCCCUUUCUUCCGUUGUCAUAUACUUAACAGUCAUGACUAUGAUUUUAAUGCAGCUGAGGAAAUGUAUUUAUUAUCUUUUGAUAAUUGCACAAAGCCUGAUAUCAAUCCCUCAUUUCCUUGCUUGCGUUUUAACCGCUGCAUUGUCCUGUCAAAGGACUAAGACUUCUUCACUUAGCUGUGUGAAAUUCCCAACUGCUGCAAGAAGAAAUUGCCAUCCUCAUUUGGGACCUGUGGCCCCAAAAGCUGACGUUGUGUAACCUCUCUAUCUAAGUCCAGAAUGCACUUUUUCGUGGCUGGCUGCCAAAUUCUGCAGUGGAACACACAGCUACAGCUCAGAAAAGGAAACUCCUUCUCUCUGCACAAGUUUUCCUUUAACUUCUUUGCGGGGUUGUCCUGUUUGGCUGGGAGCUGGUUUGUGUUGUGCAAAGCCGGUGCAGUGUGAUCACAGCAGGGUUAACACCGCUUCCGCGUUCAGCGCUCCCCGGGCACUUGUUAAUCGUGUUGGUGCCUUGCAGUACAGUUUGUUCUUUCCGGUGUAACCAGCAGCAAAGCAGGGUCCCGUCAAAAAGAAGAAAUACAGGUUCCUUUACAUAGCAUAGGAAUUUCCAGCUUGUGCAAAUCGGCUCCAAGAUUGAAAGAAGUGAGAUAUAUAAAGCUGGAAAUGUCUGUGUAUUUUGCCAGAUGGUACCUUUCAGAAUGCAAUAGGAUUGUCCAGCUGUCUGGAGAAACCUUUAAAUAUCCUGGAAUAUGGUGGAAGCAGUACUGAUAGAUCUGUUCAGCCUUGCACCCGACUUGCAGAACAACAUCCAAGGAUUACUACACAACACUCUGGAAGCUAUUGAGAAAUGCUCUUCCAUCCAUGCUCCAUUUGUUUAUGUCAUGUGUUGCCAGAGGCAGGGGAGUGAAAGGAAAGGUGAACAAGAGUUCUUGCUUCCAGCUCUGAGAGGUUUUUGGAAUCUGAAGAGAAGACUGGAGGUGGUAUGUGCUCAGACUACAGCUGCUGCUUUGUACACCAUCAAACAGAGACUGGAUGAAAAAGACCUGAGCAUCAUUAAAGUUAUUCUCCCUACCUUAAGAAAAGACUUAAUGAAAGUAUAUAUUGACCAUCUCUUUACAACAGUCUAUCAGUUUGAAUUCGAGGAUUUACAGGUGGUACCUGACAGUGACAGCCUGCAGAUAUCAGAACAUCAGCAUGAAGGGCAAACACUUCCUUCACAGGACAGGGCACUCAUCCAAAGUGAGAUUCAGAUGUACUUGGAAAGCCUGCCAAGCCUGAAAGGGGAGCUCACCAUCCUCAGAUCUUCCCUGAUCCCAGAUGAUAUUUUCUUACAUGGGUUCACCACAAGGACAGGUGGGAUCUCCUACAUUCCAACUCUAAGCUCCUGCAAUCUCUUCAGCAGCUCCAAGCGGAGGGACCCACAAGUUGUUGUUAAAGAAAAUCUCCGCCGGCUAGCUAAGGCUGCAGGAUUUAACCCAGAGGCUUUUCACAGAGUCAAGGUAGAUCACGCUAAUGCUGUGUGUAUUAUGGGAAAGACAGAGCCUGACAACUAUGAUGGAAUAGUUACGAAUCAGAAGGGUGUCACGCUGGCAGCUCCAGGUGCUGACUGCAUACCCGUGCUCUUUGCUGAUCCUGUCAGAAGAGCCUGCGGUGCUGCUCAUUCCGGAUGGAAGGGCACAUUGUUAGGUGUAUCUAUGGCCACAGUGAAUGCUAUGGUUUCUGAAUACGGCUGUAAUGUGAAAGAUAUCCUUGUGGUGCUGGGCCCGUCUGUGGGACCUUGCUGCUACAAACUUCCUCAUGAAUCAGCAAAAGAAUUUCACAGAAUUGAUCCAAAUUGUGUGAGACUAUUUGACUCUGCAAGUCCUUAUAUCGAUAUCAGAAGAGCAACGAGGAUUCUUCUUGAGAGAGGUGGGAUUCUUCCCGAGAACAUCCAAGAUGAUUCUAUCACAGACCAGAACCGAAACAUCACUUUCUGUACUGCAUGCCACCCUGAUAAAUUUUACUCUCACUUUCGUGAUGGCACUAACUUUGGGACACAGAUUGGCUUCAUAUCAAUCAAAGACUGAGACAGUAUCUCUUACUCUAGAACAGCAUUUAGAUAAUAAGUCUGCUGCAUCAUCUGGCAUCCUGCUCUCCGCAUAGAAGUUUUUCCUCCUUUCUUUCACAGACUUGUAGUAGGGAAUCCAUGGGUCAUGAGAUUCUCCUGCUUGUUCCAUCCCUUUCCCUUUUGAGGCAAGAAUAAGUACCUGUGCUGUGGGGACAACAGUUCUUGUAUGAGACAGGGUGCAAAGGAAACAAGGACAAACCACGCCAGUGGCAAAAUCCUUCUACAAGAUCCAGAUACAAGCUCCAAGUUUAUGGAUCCUCCUUGACCAAAUAUUUUCCAGAAAUCUCACUGUCUUAAGUUGGUGGAAGCCCAAAAAACACCAGUCUUCAUUAGCUUCUGGUUGAGACUGCUGAAUGACACUAAGUAUGACAUUGCUAAUACAGGAAGGGAAGCCAGCAUUGCAUGUUACCUGUUUGAGACACUCAACUUUGAUAGUUUCAGCUGAAGCCUUACAAAAUUUUGUGCAUGGGAUUAAUUUUCUUCUUUGGAUUAGUUUAAAGAACUCCAAAAUAAUUACAGGAAUUUUCCUAUGGAAAAUAACUUGAAGCUGGCUUCAAACCAGAGUCUCAGGAUCCAACAGGGGCAGCACUCACACUACUCAGCUGAGAGUUGUCAAGCACAUUGCUGCAUACCAGCUAAUGGUGUGUAUGGUAUGUGUUACGUGUAUUAUUGACUUGUUCUAAAUAUAGGAUAGUAUAAUUAUAUGGAGACUGGCAGGCUUAUCUUGCUACCCUAAUUAAAAACACCAACACAACAGACUACCUUAACCUUUUAGUUCUGUCCCUUCACCCUGGUUUCUGUUCCGGUUAUGGGUACUGACUGACGUAGCAGUGAGGUGUGUAAGGUUCCUUCUUGAAGCUACAGGGGCAGUGGCACUACAUGACUUUCAGUCCCUGCAUCUGAAGCUCAGCCAAAGCUGAGUGCCCUUCACCUAAACCUUUUCCCUUGUGUAUCAAGAGUAUGCCAUCAAAAACAGCUGAGUUACUCGGUUCUGCAAGGUACUGACAGCUGAAGCAUCAUAGGGGCCCAUGUGCCUGCUGUUAUCCCAUCUCAUCUCAAAAUUGGCUUUAAACUAAUUCAUUUAUUCUUCCAGUAAGUACAAAAACCUUGCAGUCAUGCUACUUACCACAGUUCAAAUGCUCAGCAGUAUAUUUGGUCACAUUAACAUGAUACUGAGAGUAAGCCCUGUCUUGUUCUUACCUGCUCAAGGAUUGCAGUAGAGAUUUUACGUUUAGAAAAAUGCCAUUUACAGGUCAUGGUAAGGCUGUGCAAGCUGGAGACUAUCAGAAUGAGCAGGAACACCAAAGGCUUCACCUUUUGGAAGACAAAUCAUUACCACAAUUGUUUUUUUUUUUGGUUUUUUUUUUUUUCUUUUAUAUGAAUUACCUAGACUGUAAACUUUUCAAGACAGGAAACAUUCUUUUGCACAUGGAUGACAGAGGUGGAAAACUCCAUGACCGAUAAGAAAAUAUUGUAAGGUUCAGUCUCAAAUCAGGCUAGGCUCUGAAUCAUUACUUCUUUCAAAAGUCCUUGCUACAAAAGCAUUGUAAUCCUGGUAUUAAAAAAAAAAGUUUGGAGGCAAGGCGUGACAAGAAGGGGACUAAGCUGUUUCAUAUCUGUUUAUUUACUUUUCAUUCUUGCUGCUCAUUGAAGGAGGCAAGCACAACACUCCUGAUUCAUCACCUCUAGAGAAGCUCUUAAAAUACUUCAUAAAUUGUUCAGCUGUACCUAACUAAUUACCAGAUCCCAUUUAUUAACCUAAUAUCCAUUGAAUUUAUAAGCUGCAUUUGCCCUAUUAUUGUAAUUAAAUGACAUUAUUAAUUAUGAUAAUGGUGUGCCCUGAGGAGAGCACACGACAUGAUCACAUUGAAUAUUGGUUUUGCUAGUUGUUACUGUGCAAUUAACAUUUGUUGCUAUUGUAGAUUCUCUAUAUGGGCCUUUUUAUUUACAUUACAUGCUUGAAUGAAGUGUACUGAAACAUGUCUGAGAGAGGCUUUAUUCACUAUUCCAGUAGAAGAGGGCAGCUCUAGCAAAGAUGUCUGCCUGGGGAAGCAGUGUGCAACUUCAGAGAAAUAGAUCAAAGCCGGAGAUAAUUAGUGAAAUGUUUAUCCAAACCAUGUCAUUUAUUGCCAUAGGCAUAGCAAAGGUGAAAACUAUUAAGGAAAUUAAAUGAAAAAUGUUUUUAAUGCAUUUGUAGAAGUCAGUUCCAUCAGUGACUGCUGGUCUCUCUGUGCUGACAACCUGAGGAGACAGGAUGGGGGCAAGGCAGUUUUGCAUUUGACAGUUGCCUUUUUGAUUGGCUACAAAUUCAGAAGCCAUGGGCCUGGAUGUUCAGCAAAAUAUAUGGGCACAUCUUGACUCACAGAAAGUAUGUCAUCCCUCCCAAAUUACAUGCAUUCAAUUACAGGAAAGCAUCUCCUUUCCCCAGCAGUAUCAUGGUCUUGCAAAGUGGUAGUCUUUGCUUGUGUUGUUUUCCUCAUGCUUAUCAUCACUGCAUUUCUGUCCAGCACCUCUCAAAAUCCCCCUGUGAGGACUGUGAAUCUGGUCACAGGGGGAUGGAAGAUACAGAUGCUAUUCUGCUCAGAGCAGCACCAGUGCUAUUUUCUUUUGUAUGCUUGUGCUUUUUUUUCUUUUAGCAGCAGUGUGAAACUUCUUGUUCUCAGCACAGGGUCUUUAUCACUAUCCUCCAAACCAUUCCCAUUUUACAGGUUUCCAAAAGAGCUACAGCUUUUCAGCUUACAAAGCAAAGAAGCCAAUAUUCCUAGAUUCCUUCACUGCUGUCCUCAUUUCCACUCCCUGUUCAAUUUGCUGCUGGGCAAUGCAAAGAGGGAGAUGAGCUGCACUCAUUUGUGCUGAGGCCCAGAGGGGCUGUGUGUGUGCACUCGCCUCGAUGUCAUGUGUGUGAAGCUUUUGUUCUCUGAGUACUGAAGUCCUUCCUGAACUCCAGCCUCUUGUGCAACAAUAUUAACAGGAGAGUGCACUGACAGGAGUGGUAAAUCCUAUAUGUGACAGAGGAAAUAGUGUAUUGACCUGCUGAGGGAUUUACAUACCUCCAAAGGCUGACAACAAGCUCUGCCUGUGAGGCUCACUUGUUCUACUUUCCAUUUCCAGCAGAUAUUAUCCAGUGCUUACAGAUGAAUGACUUGGAUAGAUAUGUAUGUGGAUUUAAAAACUGUCCUGGUUGAGUAUAUUCUUUUAUCCAGAAUGCUACUAAUCAUUUACAAAAUACAGAGAUUUUGCUGUUGUGCUUGCUUUAAAUAUACAGUGCCUAUGGCUGUACAGCUAAAAAGCAUGAUUAUGUAUUUCCCAAAGGCAUGCAGAGAAAUAGGAAGCUAGCUUUUUUAAGUGGUCCCUCUGAUCUUUCAUUAAUAAGUG
Passer domesticus (house sparrow) is the source of this 6457-nucleotide RNA transcript. It is a transcript of the gene named laccase domain containing 1, with no coding region annotated. The transcript has 7 exons. NCBI's taxonomy places the organism in Eukaryota, Metazoa, Chordata, Aves, Passeriformes, Passeridae. The record is from RefSeq and is a predicted model, not a curated record.